RNAcentral lists this ribosomal RNA (134 nucleotides) under Mytilus edulis (blue mussel). Its description in RNAcentral is "partial 16S ribosomal RNA". Lineage: Eukaryota; Metazoa; Mollusca; Bivalvia; Mytilida; Mytilidae. The record is from RNAcentral.
CAGUUUCUAUCCUCUUUUUGAAAUGAGCUAAUUUUGUACGAAAGGACUUUUUCGCUAAAGCAAUGCUUUGUCACAAAUCUGUGGUUGCAUAAAUAAUAGAGUAUAAUAGGUUGAUUAGCCUAUAGGAAGGGUUA